GGAGCCUUUUAAUUGCAAAGCAGGCGACGGCGCGCUCGGGCUAAUUAAGCCUACCCUAAAACAAAUUAAAGGGACUUAGCGGGCUCCCUCGCCGUCGAGGCCGUGCGUACAGCCGAGCGAGCCGCCGCGGAACGCGCGUUCCCACAAGNNNNNNNNNNNNNNNNNNNNUCCCGACCGGUGACUCUGCUCCUGGAGCUCCCGCUCAGCGCCGUGGGUUGUUUCCUGCCGCGAGCUUUCCCUCCUAAUCAGCUUUGCUCAUGUUUUCCCCUCGGCUUUGGAGAUUAGCCCUCCGCAGCCGCCAGGUGCGUACACACGGAGCGGGAGAAGGGCGAGGGGGAGGAGGCUCCAGUUUCCCUCGUUAUUUUAAGCGAACGCUCCAAUCUGCUGCUUAGAUAAGGUUGAGAAAAGCGCUCCUACCCGGACGCGGCGGCGGCUGGGCACCGCAGAGACUUAAACAAAAGCGGGCUCGAGGCCGACAGAAGCCAGACGGCCCCGGGAGCGCCACCACCGAGGGAAGCCAAGAGCUGGCUGCGAGGGGAAACCCGCGGCUCGGCCCCAAUGUGGGCAACCGCGGGGGCCGGGGAGGAGCUCAAAAACCCCACAGCAACUCGGCUCCCUCGCAGGCAGUUAUUGAGGCUGGAGGGCGAUGGCUCAGACCGCUCUGCUCUCAGAGGCUGCCGAGUGAGAAAACCAAAGCAAGGGCCUGGCAGAGCACAAAUCGAGCCGCUACUUCAAGCAAUUACCCACAGCAAAACGCGCCCCACGCCUGGACGGUGCAGAAGCCACAAGGAGCACUCAAGCCUCACUUAAGCCCCCGAGAUAGAAGGGGAAUUUUCUGGCUCGGGGCAUAAAGGCGAGUGUCACGGUUCGGAGGAACCUCUCGGCAGGACGAGCUCCUUGUCCGUCCCCGCCACAGAGAUGCCUUUAAUCUCAGCUUAAAAUAUUCUGACGUGGCGGGGGAAAAAAGGAAAAAAAAAAAAAGGUCCAUCUAUAUCCUGCCCCGCAGCAGCAUGUAACAAGGGGGCUGUGUGUUUGUGUCCAGCAUAAAAGACUCCGGCCGUGUAUUUAUCUUGGAUUGUGAACGUGAAAAUUAGGCACAGCGAAAACAUCGCCUCUCGCGCUCUCCGCCCCCUUCCCCGAUUGCUCGCACAAACCCAAAUUGUAGCCGCCGGGAUGUUUUUGGCUUCUGCUUUGAAGGGAGAAAUCAAUCAGGUGGCAGCAGCCAGCGGAGGCUCAGGCGUCCCCCUGUUUAUUUUCUUUACGUAUGGUCCCAGGAUAAGUUAAAUAUUUCCCCCAAGGUCAGUGCUAACUGGUGCGGCUGCUCAGGAGCUCACGUUCCCCUCCCGCAGGCUCCCCCCCCCAA
This 1363-nucleotide long non-coding RNA is filed under the name Anser cygnoides (Swan goose). RNAcentral's name for it is "lncRNA (ENSACDG00005016095.1)". Lineage: Eukaryota; Metazoa; Chordata; Aves; Anseriformes; Anatidae. The record is from RNAcentral.